Long non-coding RNA from Myotis davidii, 2211 nucleotides. RefSeq lists it as uncharacterized. The record is from RefSeq and is a predicted model, not a curated record. NCBI's taxonomy places the organism in Eukaryota, Metazoa, Chordata, Mammalia, Chiroptera, Vespertilionidae. The transcript has 2 exons.
CAAAAGAUUUGUACUAAGUCCCUGUUAAACAAUUGGAAAAAAUGCCAAACUGGCAUGAAACUAACGGCUGUCCACAAUCAGCCUGUGCACCUUCCACCUCACCUCCCACAGGUCUGCCUUUUUCCUGAAGCUACUUCUGCCUGGAAUGGCCUUCUUCUUUCUACAUGCUCAAAUCCCGUGCUCACUUCAGGUUGCAACUCAAAUGUUAUUUCCUAAGACCAAAAGUAGGUUUCCUUCCUUUGAUCUUGACUUAUAGCAUAUAAUUAGAUCUUUUUAAAAGCUCUUGACUUUCUACUUUAUAAUGUACUUAUUUGUGAACAUGUUUAUCGCCCUUUAAUUCCCUAAGGUGAAAGGCCACAUCUUACUUGUUUUGAGGUGGAUCCCUUUCAUUAGGUCUUGCACUUUAUAGAAACUCAGUAUUUAAUUAAUAGCUAAUGCAUAUUUUAUGGGGUUCUUAUGCAAUCCACAUAUUACUCUGCUCUUUCUUCUAUGCCACAAAAGUAACCUGAAAGACAGUCAAGAGAACAAAUGUGUCCCCAGCACCAAGCAGUGCCUGACAUACAGUCAUUACAAGCUAUUAAACUGAACAGAAGGAGAAGUGCAUCUUAUUAGCCAAGGGAGGAAGGGUUUCCAAUGGGGGGACAGUGAUAGUGUCCAGUCCUUCAGAGGGUGGGGAAUGCAGGGCCAUGGCUCCCACUGAAUUUGGGAACUAGAAAUAGUGAGUGGAGACAGAAGCCAGACAGAAAAAGUUAAGGAAUAGCACAUGAGGAAAUGGAAGAAAUGAGUAUAGAUUAUUUUUUCAAGAAACCUAACCAGAAUAAUGGGAAGAAAAAAUGGCAUAUGAUGCACAUCUGAUCUCAUGGUCAUCUGCUUCUGAGGUGCAAAGAACCUGGACCAGUCCACAUGUGAAAGCAACAGAAAGGGCUGGCUCAGAGGUGUUAAAAAAGUGAAAAAUGACACAAUUCACGCUCCUCACCAAUCACAGAGCCUUGUAGUCAAGUGCCCAGUAUGCUGUGCUCAUGUCUAUGCACCAUAUUGUCAAGAUAGAAAUUAUGAUGGUUAAUUUUACAUGUCAGCAUGGGUGGCCCACAGUGCCCAACUAUGUGGUCAAACACUAUGCUAGGUGUUUCUGUAAGAGUGUUUUUGGAUGAAAUCAGCAUUUAACUCGGUAACUUGAAGAGAAGCAGAUUGUCCUCCAUAAUGUGGGCACCUUCAUCCAAUCAUUUGAGGCCCUGAAUAGACCAGAAGACUGGCCUCCCCAAGCAAGAGGGAAUUCUGCAGCAACAUCAGCUCUCUUAUUUCUCCAGCCUGCUGCUCACCCUAUAGAUUUUGGAUUUGCCAGCCUCCAUAAUCAUUUCUGACUAGAGAAGAACUAUGGUCAAGACAUUCAAAGCUGUGCCUGCUUACUCUUAAUGAAGAGGAUCCUGGGCCUCAUCUCUUAUAAGGAGUGUUGUCUAGAAGUUAAAAUUUUCCCUCCUUAGUUGAUUAAUAUAUUUUCAAGUAUAUCAAAAGGACUUGGAAUUGGAUUUAAAAAUUCCAAGCUUAAGAAACCCUUUGAAAAGCAGAUUUUAAGACAGGAUUAGAUUUGUAGGAGAUUUACUGAGGGAAAUGCCUGUGAAGAAUAAACAGAGGUCGCAGAAGUAGGCAAAGAGAGCCUUUAGAUACUGAUGCAGGUCUGACACCUGUGAAAGGAGUGGAGUGGGGAAGGAAUAUCCAUCAAGAAAAGUCUCAACUCAGCACAGCUCUGAGAAAAUUUCAAGCAAGCUAAUGGGGAGUCCCUGAGUCAAAAUUACCCAUAAGAGGGGUCCUGUAUCCCACAGAAAUUAUCCAGCAUUCAUUUGGAAAUGUGACUCUGAAUAACCAAAACUGUCUUGAAAAAAAAAGAAAAGUUGGAGGACUCACUCUUCCCAAUUUCAAAACUCACCACAAAGCUACAUACAGUUCAAUGGGGAAAGAAUAGCCUUCUUAAAAAAAUGGUCCAGGAACAGAUGGAUACCCAUACCAAAGAAUGAAAUUGGACCUCUGCCUCAUACCAUAUAUAUAAAAAUUUACUCAAAAUGGAUUACAGUGCAGAAUGUAAGAGCUAAAACUAUAUACAUAACUGUAAAUAUGUUAUGAUCUUGGGUUAGAGAAAGGUUACUUAGAUAUGAUACAAAGAACAAGAAAAAAAAGAAAAUUGGACUGCAUCAAAAUUUUAAACAUUUCAGUUUU